This 764-nucleotide ribosomal RNA is filed under the name uncultured archaeon. Its description in RNAcentral is "bacterial SSU rRNA". It matches the Rfam family "Archaeal small subunit ribosomal RNA", at positions 102 to 859 of the family's 1478-position model. The record is from RNAcentral.
GGAUAACCUGCCCCUUGGGUCCCGGGCAUAACCCCGGGGAAACUGGGGAUAAUUCCGGGAUAACGCACAUAUGCUGGAAUGCUUUAUGCGUAAAAUGGAUUCGUCUGCCCAAGGAUGGGUCUGCGGCCUAUCAGGUAGUAGUGGGUGUAAUGUACCUACUAGCCAACAACGGGUACGGGUUGUGAGAGCAAGAGCCCGGAGAUGGAUUCUGAGACAUGAAUCCAGGCCCUACGGGGCGCAGCAGGCGCGAAAACUUUACAAUGCGGGAAACCGUGAUAAGGGGACACCGAGUGCCAGCAUCAUAUGCUGGCUGUCCAGGUGUGUAAAAUACACCUGUCAGCAAGGGCCGGGCAAGACCGGUGCCAGCCGCCGCGGUAACACCGGCGGCCCGAGUGGUGAUCGUGAUUAUUGGGUCUAAAGGGUCCGUAGCCGGUUUGGUCAGUCCUCCGGGAAAUCUGACGGCUCAACCGUUAGGCUUUCGGGGGAUACUGCCAGGCUUGGAACCGGGAGAGGUAAGAGGUACUACAGGGGUAGGAGUGAAAUCUUGUAAUCCCUGUGGGACCACCUGUGGCGAAGGCGUCUUACCAGAACGGGUUCGACGGUGAGGGACGAAAGCUGGGGGCACGAACCGGAUUAGAUACCCGGGUAGUCCCAGCCGUAAACGAUGCUCGCUAGGUGUCAGGCAUGGCGCGACCGUGUCUGGUGCCGCAGGGAAGCCGUGAAGCGAGCCACCUGGGAAGUACGGCCGCAAGGCUGAAACUUAA